RNAcentral lists this ribosomal RNA (535 nucleotides) under uncultured archaeon. RNAcentral's name for it is "bacterial SSU rRNA". It matches the Rfam family "Archaeal small subunit ribosomal RNA", at positions 465 to 997 of the family's 1478-position model. The record is from RNAcentral.
CCGCGGUAACACCGGCGGCCCGAGUGGUGAUCGUGAUUAUUGGGUCUAAAGGGUCCGUAGCCGGUUUGGUCAGUCCUCCGGGAAAUCUGAUAGCUCAACUAUUAGGGCUUUCGGGGGAUACUGCCAGACUUGGAACCGGGAGAGGUAAGAGGUACUACAGGGGUAGGAGUGAAAUCUUGUAAUCCCUGUGGGACCACCUGUGGCGAAGGCGUCUUACCAGAACGGGUUCGACGGUGAGGGACGAAAGCUGGGGGCACGAACCGGAUUAGAUACCCGGGUAGUCCCAGCCGUAAACGAUGCUCGCUAGGUGUCAGGCAUGGCGCGACCGUGUCUGGUGCCGCAGGGAAGCCGUGAAGCGAGCCACCUGGGAAGUACGGCCGCAAGGCUGAAACUUAAAGGAAUUGGCGGGGGAGCACAACAACGGGUGGAGCCCUGCGGUUUAAUUGGACUCAACGCCGGACAACUCACCGGGGGCGACAGCAAUAUGUAGGCCAAGCUGAAGACUUUGCCUGAAUCGCUGAGAAGUGGUGCAUGG